AUUCGCGGUGUCAGUGGAUAAGCGACCAGGAAAUGAGUGAUCCGCUGCCGAUAAGCUGUUAAUGAGUUGAUCAUAAUUCCAGAUGUCGAUGCUUGCAUGGUGUAUUGGUUCGAGUUUCUGGAUACUGUUGUGUGCCAUCUGAUUUUACUGAGGGGUGGGAGGGUGGAGGAUUUGGGGUCGUAUCUCCCUCUGAAGUAACUGCCUUAGAGUCGAGAACAAGACAGGAACGGCGAGGAAAAACCUGGCAUGAUGUCCUACAAGAAUGGGCGCAUAAAGUUGCCAGAAGUGCCACCACAUUUAGUGUUUAUGCAGCUAUUAAUUGCUGUUGGGUAUGGUUUGAUUAACACAGGGAUCGCCCGUUUUGCUAUCAAGUGGUGUUUUCUAUUUCUGCACCCCAGCGGCGCCAAUUACUGGCCACGUCUUUAUUUGAUAGAGGUGCUGGUUAAGGGAAGUGUAAGAACGGGUGUCCGAUUUGGGCUUUAUAAAACCUGGCGAGGGAGUCAUUGUACAAUGAUAGAGGCUCAGACGGCAGUCUAAUUCAGUCUGACCGCAGGGUCGUGGGUCUGGCAACCUGAGCGCUGCGGGAAACGUGGGAAAUUAUCAUGAAAUGUAGUCAGACAGUAAACAGGGGGCACAACAAUCAGCCAGGGAGGGCCGUAUCAGGAAACACCGAGGCACAGAUUCCCUCCUUCACAUCGCAUCUUCCGUCUGCUCGGGAGAGUCUUAUUCAAUGCUAUUUUAGGGGAUUAGCGGAUUGAAACUUUGGAAACUGUUAGGUCAGAGCUGCAAACUGAAACUAGCUUUAAUGAAGGGAAGCGCCAAUGGUAAAGUGAGCCGGGUGUUACAUAACGGCGGGCUCGGGAAGGUGAGCGUAUGGAGCGAAUGUUUUGAGCUGUUAGGUUUAAACAUGCUCGCUCCGCAGUCUGCUCCAGUCUGACCCCGCCCCGCGGCGUGCGGGGUAACGUGAGGUCUCGCCGGCUGCUGGCGAGAGGCGCAGAGGCAGCUGUCGGCGAAUCUGACCAUGAGGAUGCAAACGUGACAGUGGAGACAGAACGCAGCCCCAACAGAGGACAGCCCCCGCACCACAUCAAUAACAGGCGGGGAUUUCAGAACCUCUUCUCUCCCGAGUAAACACGCACAAAAGAAAAAUCCCACGGGGGAACGAAAAGGAAGAUGACUUUUAACUAUUUAAAUACCACACUUCGGCCGUAGCCCCCUGUAUGAAUGUGCAACAACGCCUUUCCCUUGCUCGCCCUUUCUGAUGUCAUGCAUGUCGUGUUUACAAGGCUCAUUUUCACCCCGAGUUUCCAUUUUCACAAGCUCUCUGCCCCUGCCACCGCUAUGCGCAGUAUAUUUUCAGGGGAAUUAAUGAAAGGGGGGAAAAGUCCAUCUUUAGAAACUCUCGAAAGACUCGUUUCUGCUGUACUGGGGUUCUCCCGGGGGGAAUUAAUGGGGGGCAUGGAUAUUUUGCAUGGAAGAUUGUAGUUAAUGCUGUGGUUUGAGAGGUAGGCGAAACGGGGGCAAAACGCUAAAAAGCAGAGCCAGUUUUUCCUCAACGUUUUACUGUAUUUCGGUGCAUGAGGGAAUAAUAGAGCAGAACCAAUAUAUUUCACCUGUUUCCGUAAUGAAUAAAUAAUAAACCGACACAUUUAACAUUUCGUCUAUAUAUUUCGUAAGUAAUACACUGGCACAUUUCGUCCCCUUCCCUAUUUCAGAUUUCCGGGGAGAAGUGGGGAAAGGGCAAUCAAUCGAGAGAAGGAAAAUCGGGGUAAAUUCAAAAUUCGGGUGGAGGUGCGAAUUUCCUCAACGCCCACAAAGGCUAUAUAAGGACCAGUUGCUGCAAGCUUCCGGCCGCUGCAAUUUCGCGCAGCAGUUACCAUUAAUUUUAAUCACGAUCCCUGCUCUGGACUGGAUCCGGCUACAGCAGAGUGCGUCCGAGGUUGCCAACUCUGAUUGGUCAUAUUCUUGGAAAUUAUGUCACGUGACUUGCUGUUUCCAAUUGCUUCGAUACAGACAACCGGCUCUUCUCCACUCUGUUUAUCGUGAAUAAACUGGAGUGAAUUAUUUUAAAUGUCUCCCCGAUUUAUACUUAUGGAACAGUGUUUACGAAAUUAUUCUAAAUUCCAUGAGAACACUGGAGUUGUACACCCGCUCAUGUGUUUUUAGCAGGAGCGCUCGGUCUGCAGGUCUGGGGAAAGUUCAGGGAUCAGAAUUAGUCUGCAGACUGACUGUGAAAGGCGGCGUAAUUUAUCUCUUUCUCCCUGACCUUUUCUAAAGACCAGCAAAUCUCUCCGAUGAACCAUCUGUCCAAUGCCCUGUUAACCGUUCCUAUCACGUAUCAGCAGCGCCUCAAAAGCAGUGUAUUUCAGAUCCUAUUACUAGAUAAAAAUAAUCCUAAUUUCUCCGCCCAAAUGCAUGAAUUGGGAUGUUCCAAUUGCCGCGUCCUGGGUGCAUGUCGGUGGGAACGGGUGCAAUAUAAACAGCAGAGCCGCUACCUCAGACCUGUGUUAAUUCCUGACCCCAGGCAAUGUCUGUGCUUUGGCUUCUCCCGCAUCGAUGUGCCGCCGCUUUCAAUUAGCCCACAUCUUCAGCAGUUUGAACCGGGCAUGACUGCGCAAGCGCGUGAAGGUUGGCCUGUGAAACAGCGGGAGAGUUUAAAAAGCGAGCAAAUUAACGGAGCAGGCAUCGUAGGAGCGGGCAAUGGAGUAGUGGGGGACAGAGUAGGAAGGCUUUGGCUCGAGAGGCUUUGGUGAGCAAAGGCUGAGGACGAGCUUGCUCCCAGUGAGGUAAGGCCGGAUAUACGGUGUGGAACAGGCUCUUCUGACCCGGCGAGCUGCACUGCUCAUCAAUCCCCGAUGUAACCUAAUCACAGGAUAAUUUACAAUGACUUAUUACUUGGUACUUCUUUGCACUAUGGGAGGAAACCAGAGAGCACACGUGCACAUGCUACCUUUCAGAACCUUGGGGUGUAGUCCAUCCGGUCCAGGUGGGGAGAGAAGCCACCUGGAAAUACCCAGUUUCGACGCAUAAGUUACUUGCAACCCUGCAGCAGCUAGUAACUCCAUCCACCCUGCUCACCCAUAGACGUAGAGCGACCUUAAGCCAGGUGUUCAUAACCUGGGAGAACCUGUAUGUUCUUACAUAGGGAGUAUACAAAUUAACUGCUCAGAAAAUACACUCAGUGGCCACUUAAUAAGGUACCUCUUAGGUAAUGAACUGGCCACAGUGCAUGUGACAAGGACUGUAUUUUUACCUUGCUAACCACUCCUUAUUUGCACAUUAAUUCAUUAUGUCCCUUGAACAAAAACUCACAAGGAUGAAGGGAGCCGAUUUCAAGACUGAUUUCAGAUGAGACCGAUCUAAGUUUGGCUUUGCAGAAGAUCAUAUGGCCAAAUGCUCAAGUUUCAAAUUGUUCACUGCUUCUGUAAGUUGCGUGUAUAGCUGCCAGCUAUCCCCACCUCCUCUUGUUUGUUCAUAAAUAAAUGCUCUGCUGAAGAAAGCAAAGAGAGUGUGGUUAAAUACCACAAGGGGAGUAGUACUGGCUUGUACUGUACGUGAUGUCCGCACUGUUGUUCUGUCAUGAAGUUUUGCCAAUGUUGAUGUGAACGUCACCUGCAAAGAAAUAAGGACAUUACCAAAUUCAAGAUUCUGUGAGGGAUUGGCUCUAAUUGCUGUUUGAAGUUGGUCCUCCAGUCAGCCUCUGAUUCCUUUGAAGCCCGUCACAAGUGUAUUACCAGGAAAUCUCUGCUUGAAUUCAGUGCCUCAAGUACUUUUACCUUCACUUCUGCCAAGGAGGCUUGGUAAUAAAUUCAUUGUAUCGGUACAACUGCACCUAGAUUGGUUCCAAAACUCCCCUGUCUUGGGAUGACAUUUCUCAAUCACCUUCACUCAAUCAACAAACACAUCUUGGGCAAACAGGCUUUGAAAUGGGCUUCAGAUUUCAGCCAGGCUCCAGUGUGCCCAAGCUAUCUGACCUCCACAUUAUAAAAAAAAAUGAGUUUUUCUUCCCUGUCUGUCCUUGGUCACCCUGGCCUGCCUUACUCAUUUGAACAGGUGUUCAGAUAGCACAAUUGAGAGGUUUUAUCAUUAACCAAGCCCACAGUUCAAUUCCAAAUAUCUGAAUUCUGGGCCCAGAGUAUGCACCUGACUUGGGUGGAACACAGCAACUUUUGACAAAACAUAAGCAGUCACUUGAGACCUAGGAUACUGUGGCAGAGUAUGACACAUGAUAAUUUGUGAAAGUAGGCCAAGGUACGAUACCUUUUUUUUCCAAUUUGCUUCUUCUAGAUAAAGGAAAUGUUGCUCUUCUCUAUUAAGGUCAGAAUCUUUCACAAUGACACAGCAUCUGCCUAAAUGUCAAAUUUGUUAUCUGUUUGCUCAAGAUGAAGAGAAGCCUUCACGUCAUGAAUUAAGAUGGCAAUAAACACCUUGCAUUCAUUAACAACUGCACACAAAGGCAAAUCCAACUGCGGCUUCAACACACUGCUCCUAUCUCUUCAGCAUGAAGGGGAAAUAGUGAUAGUGGGAAAGACAGAGCGAGGGAGAAAGCAAAGAAAGAAAUACACAUGGAAGAGAAAAAAUGCUGCAAAGAAACAUGAGAGAUUCACAAAUAAGCAAUUACGGGAAGAGAAAUGUCGAAGCGUUGUUCAAUGUGAUAAAAUUUAAAUGCAGUUGUACCACUCUGAGUAAUUUCCACACACUUGGCGUAUUUUGGCAUGAAACAUAGUAACGAGAGCCAGUACAAUUCUAGUAUGCAAAAACAGGCUUGAGACCUUCCUACAGGCACACUUGGACCAAAUCAAUUGAACUGAAAAGGUUCAAGAGAAUGAUUGUAAUGGUUUGUAAUACUCCAAGACCAAGUGAACUUGACAGUGCAAUUGUAAACUUGCCAUUGAUCUGCAAGUGGCUCAAAUCUUUCAGGGUAUGCACUUUAAUCAAACUAAUCUCCAAGCUUUAAAACCAUCUCUCCUUGUUAAAUCCAAUCAAAAACCACACCGAAAUCCAAGCAGGAAGUUGCUUAUAAUCAAUAAUCUGAAUUUUCUUCACUGUAAGAAGUAAUUUCAUUAUGCUGCUCUGAAUUUUGUCAGAACUCAACCAUUGCAUUCACCCCACAGUCAUCAAUUAAUCCCAGCCAAAUCAGCCAGGUAUCCUUGCUACUUGACUAAUGGUAAGACUCAAACAACUGUUAGUUAUGAGCCAUGUUUGAUGCAACAUCAGGUGAGGGUGCACGUAG
Long non-coding RNA from Mobula hypostoma (lesser devil ray), 5233 nucleotides. RefSeq lists it as uncharacterized. The record is from RefSeq and is a predicted model, not a curated record. Lineage: Eukaryota; Metazoa; Chordata; Chondrichthyes; Myliobatiformes; Myliobatidae. The transcript is spliced from 5 exons.